RNAcentral lists this RNase P RNA (392 nucleotides) under Ignavibacterium sp. RNAcentral's name for it is "RNase P RNA component class A". It matches the Rfam family "Bacterial RNase P class A". From Rfam's summary of the family: Ribonuclease P (RNase P) is a ubiquitous endoribonuclease, found in archaea, bacteria and eukarya as well as chloroplasts and mitochondria. Its best characterised activity is the generation of mature 5'-ends of tRNAs by cleaving the 5'-leader elements of precursor-tRNAs. Lineage: Bacteria; Pseudomonadati; Ignavibacteriota; Ignavibacteria; Ignavibacteriales; Ignavibacteriaceae. The record is from RNAcentral.
AUAAAUAAAUCCGGGCAGUCGCUUCCCGAUAAAUCGGGAGGAGGAAAGUCCGAACUUUACAGAACAGAGUGCCGGGUAACACCCGGGUACCCCUAAAUAUUGGGGUAACUGAAAGUGCCACAGAAAAAAUACCGCCCCGGUUUUCGGGGUAAGGGUGAAAAGGUGGGGUAAGAGCUCACCGCUCCGAUAGUAAUAUCGGAGGCACGGUAAACCACACUCGAAGCAAGAUCAAGUAUGAAAGGAUUUCCGGUUUUAAAUCGGAUAAGAGUUGUUCGCUCUGUUUACCUUUCGGGUAGAUCGCUGGAUCAUAAUAGUAAUAUUAUGACAAGAUAAAUGGCUGCCGCCCCGACCUUACGGGGUUACAGAAUUCGGCUUACAGGAUAUUUAUAUGA